Molecule: ribosomal RNA, 253 nt
Filed under: uncultured bacterium
Lineage: Bacteria
Description: partial 16S ribosomal RNA
Rfam family: Bacterial small subunit ribosomal RNA
Source: RNAcentral
UACGAAGGGGGCUAGCGUUGUUCGGAAUUACUGGGCGUAAAGCGCGCGUAGGCGGUGAUCUUUGUCAGAGGUGAAAUCCCGAGGCUCAACUUCGGAAUUGCCUUUGAAACGGGAUCGCUUGAGUCCGAGAGAGGAUGGCGGAAUUCCUGGUGUAGCGGUGAAAUGCGCAGAUAUCAGGAAGAACACCCGUGGCGAAGGCGGCUCUCUGGGACGGUACUGACGCUGAGACGCGAAAGCGUGGGGAGCGAACAGG